Molecule: unclassified non-coding RNA, 276 nt
Filed under: Hevea brasiliensis (rubber tree)
Lineage: Eukaryota; Viridiplantae; Streptophyta; Magnoliopsida; Malpighiales; Euphorbiaceae
Source: RNAcentral
GUUUAAACAUUGACAGUCCCCCUGGGACUGUUACUAUAGGUCGUAAGGGCUCGUGAAACUAAUGGGGAUAAUUUGGUCAUUCCGUAAUUUCGUGAGCCGACAUUGGAUAAUUUGGUCAUUUGCCAUCAUCAGUAACUUCGUGAGCCGACUUUGGAUAAUUUGGUCAUUUCAUCAUCCGUGAUUUCGUGAGCCGACUUUGGAUAUUUGGUCAUUUGGUCAUUUGCUUUCGUCAGUUGGCCUAUAUAAGGCACCCCUUUCUUCACUCUCCAUUCACUA